Molecule: long non-coding RNA, 739 nt
Filed under: Gouania willdenowi (blunt-snouted clingfish)
Lineage: Eukaryota; Metazoa; Chordata; Actinopteri; Blenniiformes; Gobiesocidae
Description: lncRNA (ENSGWIG00000009812.1)
Source: RNAcentral
AGUGAAACAUUGCUGUUGUUCAUUCAAUAUGUUUUUUGCAAUUGGCUUCAGUAAAUAAAUUAAAUUGUCCUGUACAAUUUAAACAAUACAGAUAGAGUCAUGUGAGAUAAUUUAAAAAAUUUGAUUGGUGUAAUUGUGUAAUAUAAAUCAACAGUUAUUUACAAUAGUUAAAUUGACCUAAUGAACAUUUGUUUAUUGAGGGCUCCUUGCGCAUGCGUCGUGUCAUGUUAGAACCUCCAAUAGGGGGCAGCACUGAAAACAACCGCACUUGACUCUGCUCAAUUAAAGCAGCAGAAAUAUCACGACAUGUGCUCUGGAAGUUUCUUGCAUUGCAACCGCAACCAACUGACUCUGGACUGUGCCACCCCAGCGGUAAAAGGGAGUAUCCCACACCACAGCAAUAGGGUGGUGACUCAAAGGCCAACUCUCUGUUGUGCUGCUACUGGCUGGUAAACUCCUUCUGGAUCACUGCAGAGUUUUUAAGGAUCACUACACGUCCAUUGGAGACUACAUUUGCUGCACAGUUGAAUAAACACGCUGCCAAACUCAUGGAAGUUGUAAGAAGGAAAGGAGGAGCUAUUGGAGACAAUGCUGCAGGGAUUCUACAUGAUCAUGAUGAGGCUUCAUCAAACGGUUCACUGAACGCAUCUACACGAAGGCAGUGUCUUCUGAAGUUACUGAUGGUUUUCCUGGGAGACCCUGUGGAUGCAAUCAUCAAAGAACAUCAGGUAUAACAGGC